CCCGAUUCUUUACUUCGUAUUGAUCUGAUCUAAUCAAAGUACAGGGAUAGGUUACAUAUAUAUACUAGCUAAGCCAGCUAGUAGUAAUCCUACUUGGUGCAUUAUUAGGAAUCAUAGACAAGCACGUACACGUACACGUCCAUGGUAAGGACACGGACUCGUAAUCGUGAUCGUGUUUAACUCUAACAUGCCUAACAUCACAUUUAAAUCAAAUAUAUAUGUAUAUACCAUGAGCCCAUGACACCUCAACAGAAAACGCUCCGCACAAGUUAGUAGCAGGAGCCCUUGCAUCCAUACUUUGGGGAGGCAGCCAGGCCCUCGUCCACGGCAAGUCGUCCCGACUGAAGAAUGUAUUUAGUGUGGAUGCAAGGCAGUAAUCAGCGCUUGUAUUCAUCCUCGUGUUGUACAGCAUAUAGGUGUACAAGGAAGAGGGGAGAGAGAGAGAGUUACACGCAUGAGCACAUACCUUGUAACAACAUACGGUUGGGAUCCUAUCUAUCAGGGUGCACGCACGCAGUCAUACUGCAUGGAUAGGGACGUGCAUUUAGCAUCCAGGAGAAGCGGUCUUCAGCAUACUUGGCCAGAUUGUGCCAAGUAGUAGUGAUUAUACUAUGAGUCUGCUACCAUGUUGAUAUAUGGUGUAAAUUUACACCAUGUAUGUCAUACUUCAGCAGGGUCGCAUGGUCGCCCAGACUAGCAGAGUUGAGGCAUGCGAUGACUUGCCAACCUGAACCUAUC
This 738-nucleotide long non-coding RNA is filed under the name Hordeum vulgare. RNAcentral describes it as "long non-coding RNA (HVUL_LNC020333)". Lineage: Eukaryota; Viridiplantae; Streptophyta; Magnoliopsida; Poales; Poaceae. The record is from RNAcentral.